GCCAGCUUAGAUCUACAGCAUAUUUUCACAUGAUUGGGAAGGAAGGUGGGAAAAGUGGCGGAAACAACCUUGUGGGGUUGGUUCUAAACUUUUUUACUCUUUUUCUUUUGUCUUUUGUCUUUUGUUUUUUCACUCUGUGAAUUUCUAAAAUACCAUUAGGUUUUAAAAGACCCAAUGUGUAUAAUUGAGCUGUUCAAUGGUCAAAUGAUUUUAGGACCACUAAUUAAGGAUGAUGCUGAAGUGGAGUGGUGGGGGAGGACUCAAGAGUAAUGGGUUUUUAGCGAACCCAUUGAAGUGUUUAAUUUUAUUUUUUAUUUUUUUUUAUUGUUCUUUUAAUGCCAACUUAGAUUGCCAUCUUUACCCUCUUUCUAAGAGUAAAUUUAGGGGAAGAUGAUUUUAUUUGAAGCUGUUCUCUGCAACUUGGAAUCAGCAGCAACAACAACUCCAUGGAUGGAACAGAAAGAGUGCAAGUUUGUCACUCCGAGAUCUAAAAGGAAAUGGGUCAAAUAGAGUAACAAUGAUGAGCUAUUUCAUACAACAGAAAAUGCAGCAUAAUCCUGUCUAUGAGCUUCAAAAUAAUGCUAAACAUUGUUGGUUGGGGACAAGAAAUCAAUCAAUGAGUGAGCUGAUUUCAAACAGGGAUUUUUUGUGUAUCUAAUUUUGUCCAUUUUCUUGGGCUCUCAGACAGGAUUUGAUUUUGUUUUUUGUUCUCUGCUUCCCGAUCACUCUUUUCAUUUUCUUCCUCUGCCAAAAGAUAAUCAAUUCCGACACAGGAAAAAGCCUAUGUUUUGUUCUCCUUUUGCUAUUCACUCCCUCUAAAUUUGGGGUUCAUGUGGAGCCAAACUGGUUGCUCCAGAGGAAUAUGUUCUACCAUAAGUUGAAAGAUAUGUUCUGCUUUUGAUAUUUCUAA
Molecule: long non-coding RNA, 910 nt
Organism: Momordica charantia (bitter melon)
Lineage: Eukaryota; Viridiplantae; Streptophyta; Magnoliopsida; Cucurbitales; Cucurbitaceae
Source: RefSeq, a predicted model, not a curated record